This 459-nucleotide ribosomal RNA is filed under the name uncultured bacterium. RNAcentral's name for it is "partial 16S ribosomal RNA". It matches the Rfam family "Bacterial small subunit ribosomal RNA", at positions 338 to 795 of the family's 1533-position model. The record is from RNAcentral.
CCUACGGGAGGCAGCAGUGAGGAAUAUUGGUCAAUGGCCGGGAGGCUGAACCAGCCAAGUCGCGUGAGGGAAGACGGCCCUACGGGUUGUAAACCUCUUUUGUCAGGGAGCAAGGUGCAGGUCGGGACCUGCUGUGAGGGUACCUUACGAAUAAGCAUCGGCUAACUCCGUGCCAGCAGCCGCGGUAAUACGGAGGAUGCGAGCGUUAUCCGGAUUUAUUGGGUUUAAAGGGUGCGCAGGCGGAGGCACAAGUCAGCGGUAAAAUCGCGGGGCUCAACCCCGCUCCGCCGUUGAAACUGUGGGCCUAGAGAGCGCGAAGGGUAGGCGGAAUGCGUGGUGUAGCGGUGAAAUGCUUAGAUAUCACGCAGAACACCGAUCGCGAAGGCAGCCUACCGAAGCGCAACUGACGCUGAUGCACGAAAGCGUGGGUAUCAAACAGGAUUAGAUACCCCAGUAGUC